GAUCUUUGUGUUGCCAGGCAGGAAUGGGCUGCUUGGGGACCCAGUGAGCUCCGAGAGCCUUUCUGCUGCUUCCUGUACCCCUGUAUUUCGCUCAGCUCUCUCACUUGACUCAGCUCCAGAAACAUUCAUUAAUAUUACAUGCUUAUGGAACUAUACCUAUUGAUUAAAGGCAUCUACCCCUGGAGAAAGAGCCCAAUGAGGAGUAAUCUCUGAAGCCCAGAUUUCCUAAGGAUGAAGCUUCAGGAGAGGCCUUAUCAAUCCUGAUAACAAACUUUUCUCAUCAAGUUAGUUUCAUUUAAGGGAAGUUUUAAAUGUGGAAAGUUCAGAAGGCUAUUAAAAUUGGUUCCAGCUAAGAUACACGCACAACCACACACGCACACACACACACGGUAGAGAUAAAUAUGUUCAACAAUCCAGCUCAGUGUUACUAGAAAAUUUGAUCAGAAUCUGGCGAAAUAAAUAGUAAACUUACUAAAAAUGCCAAAUAUCCCAGAAGUUGCUUCUUUAACAUUUGAUCAAAAACUCUGUCCAGUCCAUUUUUGCUUCUUUCAAAAAUACUCUGCCGAAAAGCCAAAGGAGAAAUGGGGCUGGUACCUUCAAUAUAGAGAAUUCCAAAUAAGAUUAGAUCCCAGAAGGCUUAGUGUGGCUUUCCAGGACUGUCACUAUUAGGCAGUAACCUACCAUUCACCUCUGUUUCCCAGAUCCACCUCGUUAUACCUUAUAACUUAAAAUAUAAAUUCCAACAAUGUAUUGUACUCAAAAAAAUUAUUUCUCAAUUUGUUUGCUCAUACUAUUGAUAUUUUUCUAGAAUCUAAAUAAUUGUGAAUUAACUAUGAUAGCAGUAUUCACAAACAGUAAGUGAAAUCAGAUGUAUUAAUUCUGAGAGGAAGGAGGUGUCAGGAUUUUCACAGAAGAAGAGCACUAAGGCCGGGUGCGGGUGGCUCACGCCUGUAAUCCCAGCACUUUGGGAGGCUGAGGCAGGCGGAUCACGAGGUCAGGAGUUCUAGACUAGCCAGACCAACAUGGCGAAACCCCGUCUCUACUAAAAAUACAAAAAUUACACACCUGUAAUCCCAGCUACUCAGGAAGCUGAGGCAGGAGAAUCACUUAAACCUGGGAGGUGGAGGUUGCAAUAAGCUGCGAUCGUGCCACCGCACUCCAGCUUCGGCAACAGAGCAAGACUCCAU
Long non-coding RNA from Nomascus leucogenys (northern white-cheeked gibbon), 1187 nucleotides. RefSeq lists it as uncharacterized. The record is from RefSeq and is a predicted model, not a curated record. The transcript has 3 exons. NCBI's taxonomy places the organism in Eukaryota, Metazoa, Chordata, Mammalia, Primates, Hylobatidae.